GUACUACUGUAUAUAAAACGGGUAAAAAAAUAAAUAAAUGACUGUUUAAAAUAAAAUGAGAUUUACAACAUAGCAAUGAUGGUUUGCCCUCACUAUACCUUAAGUGUAUGCAAACUAAAAAGAAAACUGAAAUCUUCAGUAAUAGUGUUUUUUUUUUUUAUCCUGACCAUUAAAAGGUUAAAAUUGUAAAAACAAAACUGGUUUAAGAAAAUCUACUGCAGUCUUGACUGUGUUAAUCCUCUAUCUCAUUGGCAGUUCUAGACUGUUCUUUCAGAUUUUAGAAAAAUCUAGUCUUGUAGAUCGGUUUAUAUAAACUGUUAUUGGUUGUUCUGACUUGAAAACAAAAGAGAAAUCAUAACAGCUUUUCUUCAACGAAAUCUAAUCCGUCGUCGCGACCGCCAUUUUGUAAAUUCUUUCUAGCGUCGAGAAUCAAACUAAACAAGCGUCAAAAAAAUAAGUGUAUAAAAUCACGUAAUUUCAGAAAACCCUUGCUGAAACAAAAAUAAGCUUAAAAUGAGGUUAAGUGAAAAGGAUAACGUUCGCUUAGCCAUUUACAGUCGAGCUUUGUUUAGGCUUUCGGUAACGUAAGCUAGUUAAACAUUAACCUGAAGAUAAACGUUAAAUGUUCGACUAAAUAA
Molecule: long non-coding RNA, 638 nt
Filed under: Danio rerio (zebrafish)
Lineage: Eukaryota; Metazoa; Chordata; Actinopteri; Cypriniformes; Danionidae
Description: lncRNA si:ch211-276i12.12 (ENSDARG00000105368.2)
Source: RNAcentral